Molecule: ribosomal RNA, 377 nt
Filed under: uncultured bacterium
Lineage: Bacteria
Description: bacterial SSU rRNA
Rfam family: Bacterial small subunit ribosomal RNA
Source: RNAcentral
UAAGACAGAGGGUGCAAACGUUGUUCGGAAUUACUGGGCGUAAAGCGAGUGUAGGCGGUCUGAAAAGUCGGGUGUGAAAGCCCCGGGCUCAACCCGGGAAGUGCACUCGAAACUGCCAGGCUAGAGUAUCGGAGAGGUUGGUGGAAUUCUCGGUGUAGAGGUGAAAUUCGUAGAUAUCGAGAGGAACACCGGCGGCGAAGGCGGCCAACUGGACGAAUACUGACGCUGAGACUCGAAAGCGUGGGGAGCAAACAGGAUUAGAUACCCUGGUAGUCCACGCCGUAAACGAUGGGUGCUAGGUGUCGCGGGCUUUGACUCCCGCGGUGCCGUAGCUAACGCAUUAAGCACCCCGCCUGGGAAGUACGGCCGCAAGGCUA